This is a long non-coding RNA of Hirundo rustica (Barn swallow), 1261 nucleotides long. RefSeq lists it as uncharacterized. Lineage: Eukaryota; Metazoa; Chordata; Aves; Passeriformes; Hirundinidae. The transcript has 3 exons. The record is from RefSeq and is a predicted model, not a curated record.
AGCUGGAUCAGAAGAACCUCUGCAGAAAUCUCUUGUCUUCGUGUGAUUUCUUUGUGUUUCACUGGUGACAGUGGUGUCCUGGGAAGCUCCAUCCCGGCAGGAGCAGCACAGCUCUGGAGCUCCGGAGCUCUGGAGCUCUGGAGCAGGAUUUGCUGCCUGCAGGAGGACCUGGGGCCGGACUCCAGCAGGAAUUUCAUCCUGGAGAGGGCAGUCAGGCGUUGGGAUGGGCUGGAGUCCUGCCGUGCUUUUGCCUGGAAGGGAUUUUUCCAAGGAAGUAAUAGCAAAAUCCAGUCGGGGACCAGCGUUGAAUAUUGGUAUCUGGUUGAACCAGGAGAAAGUCAACACGCCUCUGGGAAUGCACAUGUUAAAAUCAGAGGACACCAGGAAAAGCCCUUUUCCCUUCCAGCCUCAGGACAGUGACCACCCAGGGCCCUCAGUGCUGAUCCUUUUCACCCAGUCACAGAAAACCUCCCAAAGCCGUGAAGAAGAAGGAAAAAGAAGAUGAAGAAGAAGGACUUAGACAAUGCCUUAAAUCCUCCACGUUGCUUCACAUAUAUUACUAUAUUCUAAAAUCCCCAAAUCCAAGCUUCCGGAAUUCCAACUGGCUUGGAAAUACCUCCCACUGCCCCAGGCUGCUCCAGCCCCAACGUCCAACCUGGCCUGGGACACUGCCAGGGAUGAAGCCUGGAAUAAUAAUUAAGAAGCUGUUUAAAAGGAGCUUUUGUGCCCCAAAGGGUCUCUCACCCAAGACACCAGCCCUGCGCCCUGCACGAGCACGAAAGGAAAAUACAAAAAUCCGUAUAAACCCAGGAACUGCGAGGAACCCUGACAUGCCUGAAAAACCUCCGCCGGCAGACACAACCCCCUGUGCCUGCUGAUAAAAAUUCAUGAGGGAUGUUGAGAGCGCCGUUCAUUAAUAUGCAGCCAGAAAGAGCGCAAUUAUCAGCCAGGCCAAAAAUAGGAUUACGCUGGAUUUCUCCUCAGUACGGGAGGGGAGGGAAGCGUUCCCGUGGCAGCGCAGCGCUAACUGCUCCCACUGCUUUUCCUCCCCACAGGAGCUGAGCAGGUGCUCCGCAGCACCUGCGGAAAUAAAGGGCUUUUGAACGGCCAGGGAAUAACCGGGGAAACCAGGAGGAUGGGAAGAAAAGUGACCAUCGGUCGGUAUUUUAAAAAGGAUGGGGGAAGGAUUGUCUAGGAGAUAGGCUUCGUUGCCGAUCCGAGGAAAAAAAAAAAAAAAAAAAAAAAAAAAAAAAAGCGAUUG